Molecule: long non-coding RNA, 561 nt
Organism: Prionailurus viverrinus (fishing cat)
Lineage: Eukaryota; Metazoa; Chordata; Mammalia; Carnivora; Felidae
Exons: 3
Source: RefSeq, a predicted model, not a curated record
CGAAAAGGGCUGCUCUCAUCAGCCACACUUUCAGCAAGAAUCAUUUACUGCUGGAGACGAGCUGUACCACUUGAGGCUCAAGGGACUUGCCCAGGACACAGAGCUUCUAGGAGUCCGGUCGGGAGCUGCACUGAAGUCUGUCUGACUCUCCAGCCCACUGUACUAACCACUGCCCUGCACUGUCUCCCAGCCCGGGCCCUUUUCUCUUAAUCUGCACAGUGAUUGGAGGAAGAGAUAAAACUCGCUCAGCCCAGGCCACCUUGAGAAACGAUGCCCUGGGUUUUUGGUGCCUCUCACUGCAACAUUCCAGUAGCAGCCAGCCAGUUGCAAGAAAGAAUCAGGAGCCAGGGACCCCUAUGAUUCUAAGACCGUUUUCCCGAAAACCUUUUUAAAGUUGGGAAAAAGUUUUGAGGCAAGCACAAGGAGGCAAGGGCCCAGCUUAGAAGAAACAAGCUGUGACAUGAAGAAUUUCAGAAAGAAAAAAACAGAUGAAGAUACAGACCAUAAGAACAAGGAAUAUUAGCUGUGGGAGAUCUGGUCUGGGAUGGCUUCCUGGAAGAG